This 556-nucleotide ribosomal RNA is filed under the name Dothiora cannabinae. RNAcentral's name for it is "eukaryotic LSU rRNA". It matches the Rfam family "Eukaryotic large subunit ribosomal RNA", at positions 87 to 655 of the family's 3401-position model. Lineage: Eukaryota; Fungi; Ascomycota; Dothideomycetes; Dothideales; Dothioraceae. The record is from RNAcentral.
UGGAGAGUGAAGCGGCAAUAGCUCAAAUUUGAAAGCUGGCCUUCUGGUCCGCAUUGUAAUUUGUAGAGGAUGCUUUUAGGCAGCCGCCGGUCUAAGUUCCUUGGAACAGGACGUCAUAGAGGGUGAGAAUCCCGUAUGUGACCGGCUCUGGCACCUUAUGUAAAGCUCCUUCGACGAGUCGAGUUGUUUGGGAAUGCAGCUCUAAAUGGGAGGUAAAUUUCUUCUAAAGCUAAAUACUGGCGAGAGACCGAUAGCGCACAAGUAGAGUGAUCGAAAGAUGAAAAGCACUUUGGAAAGAGAGUUAAAAAGCACGUGAAAUUGUUGAAAGGGAAGCGCUUGCAAUCAGACUUGGACUUGGCUGUUCAACCGGUCUUCUGACCGGCCUACUCAGUCUUGUCCAGGCCAGCAUCAGUUUCGGCGGCCGGAUAAAGGCCCUGGGAAUGUAGCUGUCUCUUCGGGGACAGUGUUAUAGCCCAGGGUGUAAUACGGCCAGCUGGGACUGAGGUCCGCGCUUCGGCUUAGGUGGUGGGCUUUAUGGUUGUAAGCGGCCCGUCUU